GAUGAGUUCUCCCUGAGACUUUAAGUCUCCUGAAGGAACGUUGAAGACGACGACGUUGAUAGGCCGGGUGUGUAAGCGCAGCGAUGCGUUGAGCUAACCGGUACUAAUGAACCGUGAGGCUUAACCUUAC
RNAcentral lists this ribosomal RNA (130 nucleotides) under Salmonella enterica subsp. enterica serovar Infantis str. 119944. Its description in RNAcentral is "partial 23S ribosomal RNA". It matches the Rfam family "Bacterial large subunit ribosomal RNA", at positions 2803 to 2925 of the family's 2925-position model. Lineage: Bacteria; Pseudomonadati; Pseudomonadota; Gammaproteobacteria; Enterobacterales; Enterobacteriaceae. The record is from RNAcentral.